UCUGGGCUGUGUUGUGCUUCCAGGAUAUAUCUGGGAAGUUGAAGUCCCCCACGAGAACAAGCGCUGACAAUUUUGCAACUCUUUGCAGCUGCCUGUAGAACUCUUCAUCAGUCUCCUCAUCCCGGUUUGGCAGUCUAUAACAGACCCCCACCAGGAUGCUUGCCUUGUUGGCCUUCUCGCUGAUCCUAACCCAUUGGGACUCAACCUUGUCAUUCCCAGACUCAAGUUCCGCGACAUCAAAACUCUCUCUGAUACAGAGAGCCACACCAUCACCCCUUCCAUGCUCCCUGUACCUUCUGAAGAGCCUAUAGCCAGACAUUGCAGCACUCCAGUCAUGAGAGUGGUCCCACCAUGUUUCCGUGAUGGCAACCAAGUCGUAGCCUGCCUGCCACACAAUGGCUUCCAGCUCCUCCUGUUCGUUACCCAUGCUGCGUGCAUUAGUGUAGAUGCACUUCAGUUGGGCCAUUGCCUUCUCUCCCAGCCUUGCCAUUGUUACCCCGGCACAGCUCUAACAAGCCUUGUUUCAGCCCCAUCCCCCUUCUCACCUAGUUUAAAGCCCUCUCAAUGAGCCCCGCCAGCUCCUGGCCCAGGGUCCGUUUUCCCCCCAGAGAUAGGGGCCCGUCUGCGGCCAUCAGGCCGGGUGAUGACUAAAGCGCCCCAUGGUCAAAAAAACAAAAAAAUUCUGUGUUGGCACCAGCCUCUGAGCCACGUGUUUAUCAGGUGGGCUUUCUGUGUCCUCUCUGUACCCUUCCCUGCCACCGUAGGGAUGGAAGAAAACACCACCUGUACUCCCGCUCCAUCCACUAACCAUCCCAGUCCCCUGAAGUCCCAUGUGAUGAUCUUCAGGCUUCUCUCUUCAAUGUCAUCACUACCAGCCUAGACUAUUAAAAGAGGAUAAUAGUCAGAGGGGCAAACCAGGUUGGGAAGCUUUCUGGCAAUGUCCCUGACCCUGGACCCAAGGAAGCAGCAGACUUCCCUACGGGUAGGGUCAGGCCGACAAAAUGUUCCCCUGAGAAGGGAGUCAGCCACAACAAUCACCCUUCUUUCUGUCCUCGUGGAGGCAGUCCUGAGGCGUGGAGUUGACUUCCUUGCCCUAGGCAUCCUCCUGGGUAGACUUACUACCUCUUCCUCAGCUACUGGUCUCUCAAGCUCCAGGGCCUCAAACCUGUUGGGUAAGGGCACCUGGGAAGGUGGGGCUGGUGGGGGAGGGCAUCGCCUGCAAUGUCAAGCAGGGACCUGUCUCCAUUCCUCCUCAACUCCUAGGUCCCCUGCCUCUGCCCGACAGCAACAGGGCAGGGGGUCCACCCCCAUUUGGGGUGUCUCACCCCGGGGCCUGCCCUUCAGGCCGCACAGGGAGUUGCUGCGCAAGUCUAUCUCCUGCUCACACUCCCUGAUAUCCCUCAACCUCUUGACCUCCUCGAGUUCUGCCACGAGGCGGACCAGGUCAUCCACCUGCUGGCACCUCACGCACACAGUCUCUUUGCCCCCUGCACGUGGUAGCAACAGGCUCAGGCACUCCCUGCACCCGGAGACCUGACCUGCUGCAGUUUUGAGAGGGCAGUCCGUCUGGGUGUGUACAGACUUCCUGGAGAGCACACUGUGCCUGGUGUACACCAUUGCAGCUGAGCUAGUGGUAGACCGCCGUUAGAGGAGGUGUUCGUAUGGGCGGGGAGGAGCGCUCUGCCCUUCCUGCUCACCCUGCCUGCACAAACCGCUGCGCUAACUGCCAUGCCACUCCCUUCUGACAUGCCACGCCCUAACUGCCACGCCAUGCCGUUUGCCCAUCCUGUUCGCUGCGCUCCUGGUUGCUCAUGCUCCCUAGGGACAGCUUAUGAACGGCUGGGGAAGGGACGGUGCUGGCUCUGCCUACGCCUCAUUCUCGCCUCGUUCACCUCUCUUGAGAGGGCUGCCGGUUCCUGGCAGCUCCCUCGACUGGGUUCAGUGCCGGAAAAAUUAGCCCUGCCUGUCCGAUCCCCCGCUCUGCUGCAGAACGCGUCUGCCCCAGAGCCAAUUGCCUCGGCAAGUGGCAAUUUCUUAUGCUACAUGCUGCUGCUUGGUCCAGUCCACCCGCUGCCAUUUCUGGUGGUCAAAAUCUUGGGAGGGGAAAAAACAGAAGAGUGAGGGAAACUUUUCUGCCUGACUGUGCACAGUACUGUCUCCACAAAGACUUUACCAAAAGUGCUCUGGUUUACGUCUUCAUGCCAAAAGUGUAACACUUUGUAAGUGAAACCAAAAAUUUAGUAUUAGCUUAGUUACCAUCCCAAAAAUCCAAUCAAAGUACAACAGUUAUCUUUAGUUCAACUACAGUAAGAUUGAUAGUCCUUUAAUUAAACAAAAGUCCCUAGAACUGUCAUGAAAGAAAACUUACUCAUGUUUACUCCAUUUCUUUCACUCUCAUCCUUUCAAUGUCCUCCUAAGUCCAAAGGUCAGUGACUCCCCUUUUCACCAGGCAGAGGGUCACUUUGGGUUAUCCUCAGUUAUUCACCAUAGGCAGCACAAUGCUUGAUCUCUGUCCUCACUCUCAGAUCCACUUGGAUCUGAGACUGGAUUUUAAAAUGUUUUCUCAUCAUAGUAUGCUUCCUUUUCAUUGGUUUUCAGAUGAAGUUUGAAAACUAUACAAGAGUCUAACACCACAGCUCACAAAGAGCUGUUGGUUGCUAGACUGCCAUUUUACCUGGUGUGCUAGACCUAACAAUCUACUCCACAGAUAUGUCAGACUUUUGUAAUAUAUGCUAUACACAGAGCUUGAAUUUAAACAGAUAAGCAAGAGUCAACCACUAGAAAAUUUAUAAAAGAAGCUUGAAUCAGCUCAAGCCCAAGUCCUGU
RNAcentral lists this long non-coding RNA (2826 nucleotides) under Anas zonorhyncha (Eastern spot-billed duck). Its description in RNAcentral is "lncRNA (ENSAZOG00000010121.1)". Lineage: Eukaryota; Metazoa; Chordata; Aves; Anseriformes; Anatidae. The record is from RNAcentral.